UACAGAGACCUCGAGCGUUAUCCGGUAUCAUUGGGCGUAAAGCGUCCGCAGGUGGUUUGGUUGGUCGAUGGUCAAAUCCUUGGGCUUAACUCGAGGACUGCUAUCGAUACCGCCAAACUUGAGGUCGGAAGAGGCAAGCGGAACUGCCGGUGUAGUCGUAAUAAGCGUUGAUAUCGGCAGGAACACCAAAGGCGAAGGCAGCUUGCUAGUACGUACCUGACACUCAUGGACGAAAGCGUGGGUAGCGAAUCGG
This 253-nucleotide unclassified non-coding RNA is filed under the name Patescibacteria group bacterium. Its description in RNAcentral is "contains 16S-23S intergenic spacer region". It matches the Rfam family "Bacterial small subunit ribosomal RNA", at positions 524 to 776 of the family's 1533-position model. The record is from RNAcentral.